AACGAACGCUGGCGGCAUGCCUAACACAUGCAAGUCGAACGAGACCUUCGGGUCUAGUGGCGCACGGGUGUGUAACGCGUGGGAACCUGCCCUUAGGUUCGGAAUAACUCCCCGAAAGGGGUGCUAAUACCGGAUAAUGUCUUCGGACCAAAGAUUUAUCGCCUUUGGAUGGGCCCGCGUGGGAUUAGCUAGUUGGUAGGGUAAAAGCCUACCAAGGCGACGAUCCAUAGCUGGUCUGAGAGGAUGAUCAGCCACACUGGUACUGAGACACGGCCCAGACUCCUACGGGAGGCAGCAGUGGGGAAUAUUGGACAAUGGGCGAAAGCCUGAUCCAGCAAUGCCGCGUGAGUGAUGAAGGCCUUAGGGUUGUAAAGCUCUUUUACCCGGGAUGAUAAUGACAGUACCGGGAGAAUAAGCUCCGGCUAACUCCGUG
Molecule: ribosomal RNA, 433 nt
Filed under: uncultured bacterium
Lineage: Bacteria
Description: partial 16S ribosomal RNA
Rfam family: Bacterial small subunit ribosomal RNA
Source: RNAcentral